AUGAACGGUUGGAGCACAUUUUUGGCGGAGAUCAGACAUGAGGUCUGUGCUGACACAUGCGUUCUGAUGGAAUGUUGGAUCCGUGUCUUUCUGGGAUUCACGUUGGGGGAGGAGGAGAUCACUUUAAAAGCAGCCGGCGCACCACCACUGACAGGCAAGCGGCCAGUCUGGGCAAUGAGCUCUGAGAACAGUUCUGUGUCACUAACAAGAUCCAGAUGGCGUUUAAAAUCAAAGGAAGCACAAAAAAUGAGAGCAGAUAAGGAAAGCAAUUUGAGGAAGAGCUUUGGAGUAAUGGAUCUGGAGACUGCAGCUCUUUCACUGUAAUAUAAUUGUACAAGAUUUAAGGGGAGAGUGGAUGCAAACGCCAGUUUUUAAGAAAUUAAUGCUUUUAUUCAGCAAGGGCACAUUAAAUUGGUCAAAUCUGACAGUAAAAUAAAUUAAUGCUGUUUUGAACUUCCUGUUUAUCACAAUCCUGUGAAAAUGCAUCACAGUUUCCACAAAAAUAUUAAGUGGCACUGUUUUCAAAACAGAUGAUAAAUAUUUCUUGAGCAGCAAAUCAGCAUGCUGCAAUUAUUUCUGUGACACUGAAGACUGGAGUAAUGAUGCUGAAAAUACAGCUUUGUCACAACAGGAAUAAAUUAAAUUUUUCUAUAUAUUAAAAUAGAAAACAUUUAUUUAAAAUUGUAAAAAUAUAUAUCUAAAUAUUUUUGUAUUUAGUGGAUGUUUGAUCAAAUAAAAAUAAUAUAGUAUUGUGCUCAUAAUAGGCUUCUACCAAAAAUACUACAAAAUCUUACUGACCUCAAACUUUUGAAUGGUGGUGUAAAGCAUGUUUCCACCUCAGAGUAGAAAAUAAAAAAGUAAACAUGAAAGUGUAAAAUAAGAUU
Molecule: long non-coding RNA, 884 nt
Organism: Cyprinus carpio carpio
Lineage: Eukaryota; Metazoa; Chordata; Actinopteri; Cypriniformes; Cyprinidae
Source: Ensembl